CGAUCAGGAAGUUCAUCUGGUUGAAAUUGUUGAUUAAAGUCUUGAUUUUGACUACUACUAAGUUCUGUUAGUUUUCUUCAGCAAAAUGUUUUAGAAUUAUCUAUAAUCACAUCAUCCUCAAGAAAUUUGAAGGAAGAAGAGGAUGUGAGGUGGUGGACUUUCUCAACACACUGUUACUUGUCCCACAGAUAGGAGGUAUGGGAUGAAAAAGUCAUGAGAUCCUGUAGUUUUGCUACAGAAUGGGACAGGGCUCUCUUCCUGGUACGGUUUUCCACCCACUGUUGCAUCAAUAUUUGCAGUAAUGUGGGACAGCGUCAGCUUUCCAGGAACAGGCCGUAGUGGAGGCUGUCAUCCUACAGUUGCUGAUGGGGUCUGGUGGGCAGACCAAGGUUGGGAGAGAUAAGAGGUGUUGAAGUGUCAGGUCAUCAGCAGCGCUGCUGAUUCCUUUCUUCUCACUUGGAUGAACUCAGAACUCAGAAUUUGAUUGAAAAGGAUAUUUCCCAAUUUACCAAAUGAAAAGAAUCAUCUGGUAUGUGGUAGCUUGAAUUAUGUACUCCAAUUUACACAUUUUCAACUUAAUCCACAUUCCUGUGGGUGUGAACCCACUGUAAAUAGGACUUCUUGAAGGUGUUAUUUUUAGUUAAGUUGCAGCCCAACUGAACCAGGUGGGCUUUACUCUGGAUUUUUGGAGGCCUUAGAAGGAGAAAGCCACAGGGAGGAGCCUGAAGCAGGGAAUCAGUGGGAACUGGACUGGAAAGGAGAGAAGAGAUUCAAGCCAAGAAUUGCUGCAAUCCAGCACCCGAAUGCUACCAACCCCAGAGGAAGCAAACCUUCAAGCCUCUGAAGCUGUUGCAGUUGUUUAAGCCAAUCCACUGCAUGUAUUUGUCAUAGCAGCCAGGCAAACUUAGACCUGGGGCUACUGCAUGAAAAUGUGGAUUCCCAACUCCUUUCCCAGAAAAUUUGGAUUCAGGAGGCUUGGGGUACGUCCCCAAAUAAAUAUUUUUAAAUCAUUUCCAAUGAUUCUUAGGAUCAGCAAAGCUUGAGAAACAAUUGAAAGAUUCAUUAAGAUUUAUUU
This is a long non-coding RNA of Choloepus didactylus (southern two-toed sloth), 1075 nucleotides long. RefSeq lists it as uncharacterized. The record is from RefSeq and is a predicted model, not a curated record. The transcript has 3 exons. NCBI's taxonomy places the organism in Eukaryota, Metazoa, Chordata, Mammalia, Pilosa, Megalonychidae.